GAGCUGGAUGACGGCGUCUGUAACCCGAUUUGGUCCAUGCGCGGCUUCUCUCAGACGUUCAACUUUUGGAGGGAGACGAAGCGGACGUCCAGCCUGCCGCUCAGCACCUACCUGACCUACGUGAUGCUGCCCUGGCAAACCAUCAUCAGUGAUAUCAUAGCAGAAGAGAACAGGCAAGAUCCGAUUUUAUCUUUUUAAAGUCGUCUGAGAUGCAACGGUCAUCGUCUAGUCAAGCUUCCACGCAAGUAUUUGUAUUUCUUCGCUACAUCUCUCUCCCUCUCCUCUUCCGUGUACCGUCAAUCGUAUGCACUUUUACUCUGAGCUCCUCCAUCACUCCAUCGAACUAUUGGAGCGUGCGAUAUUGACAACACAACGGUUAGCCUUACGGGCUAGCCCUCGAAGCCGACAGUUCAAUGCGCACAGUUUUACACGGGUGUGUGUGAGCUUUACCCCAGUUCUCUGCGCGACGUCAGUGCUUCAUACCAUAAGACCAACGUGCCUCAAGUGGCGAGCGCCCCUGAACGGAAAGGGUGGCAAAUUCAGAACGGUAAAGCAGACGGUUUCAUAUACCGAGUGCGUACCGCAUAGCGUCACGCACUGUGAGACUCUGUGAUUUAACGUGUAACCCGUAUUGGGGCAAGCUGAAAAGGGCCCAACAGGGAUCUGAAAUGCAUUAUCUCCCAUGGAGACUGUAGAAUGGUCUCAACAGGUGGCGCAUCCUUCAAACAGAUAUUCAAUCACCCAAUGAAGACGUGAUACAUGACGGGGUAUUGUCAAAGCUUCGCGUAUAAAUGAUGCUUUUUGACAAGUGAUUGGGUGAUCGGUGCCAUUGCGCUCAGCCUAGGCUCGUGAAACAAAUGUAUCGAUAUUUUGUAGCGCCACAGUCGGUCGUGCUUUUGUGAUAUUGGAUGGGCGUUAGGUGCAGAUAGUUGCUACAUGCAAUAGGUACAUUAAACCAUUGUGUGCUUCAUUUACCAUUUUAUGCUUCCUGCUUAUUUAUGCUACUUUUUAGGAGCAACUCAGUGGCAAUGUAUGUAUUCUUGUGGCUACUGAAAUUGUAUGUGCUAACGGCUACAUUCCUAUGUUAAAUAAUCGCAGUAUUUUUUGAUAUCGUGAUUAGAAUGGAUUUUAACAUAGUACAUUAAACAAGUGAAUAUUUGCAUAUGCCAGCACUUUUUAGGCACUUUAAUGUUUUCGGCUAAAGAUCCCUGAAUGUUUUCGGAAAUACCGCGUGCCAUUGUUAUGAAGUCCUACGCAAAACCGGGUCUAAGAUAUUGUGCAUUAAUAGCCUAAUAGAUAAUCUUUUAUGUAGCUUUUUAACAUUGUCGGGCUAGCUCAUUGAAUUAUUACGUUCCUUCAUUGUCUUUCGUGAUUUAGAUGCCGUAUAUUGUGUGCUGUCUACGUUGUUUUCUGUACGUGCUCUUAUUCUUGUUGUGUUUUCGUGUGCUACAUUUUUUGUGUGUAUCUGUAUCGGAUUUCUAGUUUUAGAGUCACCCCUCGUGGUCAAUGGUCAUGCCAUUGAACGUUAUGUGGGGUGGAAAAACACUUUUUUCCUAUACCGCUAGUUUGAAUAUGUGUAAUUGGUGUUCCGGCAUAUUUAUUCAUGUUUUAUGUCUUAUAUCAUUUAUAUUCCACUAUUUUAGUCAUAACGGGUGUACCUAUAUCCUUUUGAAUACAGGGUAUCUGGGUUCACAUUACGAAGUUAACUGAUACCGGCAUCAAUUAUGUUUUAAUGGUAAGUUUCUUCAGGCUCUGUAUAAUACAAAGUGCCUAUAGUG
This 1778-nucleotide long non-coding RNA is filed under the name Amphibalanus amphitrite. Its description in RNAcentral is "uncharacterized LOC122392794". Lineage: Eukaryota; Metazoa; Arthropoda; Thecostraca; Balanomorpha; Balanidae. The record is from RNAcentral.